GAAGAAAAUCUUCAACAAUUCAAGAACACAAGCAAAGAACAAGAUUUUUCUUCUUCUCUGUAGUGGCUUUCAAUGCAACGUUUCAAUGAAUUCUUCCUAAAUUAUCAAACCCCACUUGCUAGAUUUGUCACUUCUCGCCAUUCUUGCAGCAAAUUGUUCAUUGGAGGUCUGUAGUGAUACUAUGAUUCUGUUUCUUUACUUGUGUAUCAUGAUUGGCAUAUAGUUUUUUGGGGUUUCUCGCCCGGUAUUCGGUACCUGUAUUGGGGUCCCACUAAUUCUGGGAGUUCAUACCAGGUCGAAACCGAGAGCUCUAGUUAAGAAUGAAGGGGUAUAUGGUAUGGGCGUAUAGUUUUGAAACUAUAUGGUUGUGUUUAGUUUUGUAUUCCUAAAUUCAGCUUAAAUGUUAUGUAUUACCUUUUCUUGAAAAAAUAAAGUUCAAAUUUUUAGUCAUAUUGGCAUAGCAAUUGAACAGUUCUAGUUGGGGCUCUGGCAUAGCUCUAUUUGGGUAUGUUUCUUUCUAACAAUGUUAAAUUUUUUGUCUAGGAUUCUGUUUUAGAGUUUCUUGGAAGAUUAAGACUGCUAAGUAAAGUUGGAGCCCGCUUGGUUAGCUGGAUUUAAGUAGCUUUUAUGCACUGGGGGAGCUGAAUUUAUGUACAAGCAGUUAUGUGUUUAGAUAGAAGUGUUGUUACGUGUUUAGAUAGAAGUGUUGUUACGUGUUUAGAUAGUCAUAUUUACACCUUAGGGAUAAAAUAGCAUUUCCAGAGAGGAUUCUUUUGAAUAGUUGGGUGAGGUAUAGUUCAGCAGUAUUUCUGUGGGACAGAGAUGUGGGAUGUAAAAUGAAAGUUGAUAUCGAUAAUUAACUCUGUUUUGUGGAGUUAGUAUUUGAAGCACCGUGAUAAUGUAUGUUGUCAGUGCAGAGAUUUUCCUGUCUCUUGCUAAGUAUUUUAGCUUGGAUGAGUCCUUUUGACUACUCUGAUGCACGUGAAGCUAAAGAUUUCUUCUUGUGUCUCUCUGUGCUUAGUUGAUUUCUUCCUUGAUGUUUGAUGUACUAGAUUCAUUCUUGAAAAUAUCUGAUCUUUCCAUAUUAAUGAUUUUUCGUUCUUACAAAUUUUAAUGUGGCAGUCUGUGAGAGGUAAAAGAGUGCUUCUGGCAGUUUCAAGAAAUCCUCUGUUUCAGUUUCGAGAUGCGGAGACAAUGGGGUUCAUUCCUCUGCCUUUCUCCACUUCAAAAUCAAACUUGGUUACACAACUAGGUUUCAAACUUGUGAGUUGUGACAUGCAGCUACCACACAUCCAGCAGCGUACUACCUUUGCUGUUGAACCAAAACCAAGGUGUUGUGUUAAAGUUAGGUUCUUUUUCUGGUCACUUAGACGACAGACAUAAUUUGCUUCCAGGGGAGGUUGUUUUGGUUGGGUGUGUGGGAUGGCGGAGAGCUCUUUGGAUGACAGUUUUAUCUUGUUAAUUGAGCAAAAGUAGCACCGGAAUUAAGAUCUGAUGAUGGAUUAGCGGUAACAUGUUUGCACUAGAGUACAUAGGGAACCUAAAGCCUGAAAAAACUGCGAUUGCAUUUUAAGCUCAAAUCCAGAUGAACACCUUGUUGUCAUAUCUAAAAACUUAAGGACAAUGCAAAGGAUGAUAAAUUUGGAUACUUGUUAACGCGAAAUCUCCUCUCUACCACACAAAGGUAGGGGUAAGGGCUUUGUUAUGAUACCAAUGAACCUAUUCUUAAACAAGCUUUUGAGCAACAUGGUGAAACAAUUGAAGUGAAAGUAAUAUGUGAUCAUAAAAGUGGAAAAUCCAAAGGAUAUGGGUUCGUGAAGUUCACUUCUGAAACUGCAGCUAGCAAGGCCUUGAAGGAAAUGGACGGUCAAUUAUUGGAUGGAAGAAAUAUUCGCAUCAGUUAUGCCCACAAAGGAUGACGUUGAGAGGUUUCAACUCUCAUCUUUCCUUAUCCUGUUCACAUUCCUCAGUUGUUUGCUAUGGACUCGCGAAGAAGCAUGCAAGCAUUCCAGAUCACCGGGAUUUUGCCUGAGGUAAAAUCAGGACUACUUGGGAGGUCAUAAAAGUGGAUCUUGGUAAUGUUAAAAGGAUUUAAGACGUUGUCUCGAGCCCUAGCUUGACAAUUAUAAGUCCUUUGGAGUUUGGACAAGGCUCGAGUCAACGCCUUAAAUGGCCUUAAGCUUGAAGUUUGAACAAUCACUACAACUACUUCAUGAUCUUGUUUCAAAUUGCUACUGAUUAGUUCGUUCAUUUAUUCAUUGUUUUCUUUCUUUCUUAAAUAUCGUAUUUGUGUGAAGAAAUUCACUUUAUAUGUAUAUAUACUUUAUUUAGAACCUAAUAAACCGUCUUUACUAAA
This is an RNA transcript of Solanum tuberosum (potato), 2356 nucleotides long. It is a transcript of the gene named glycine-rich RNA-binding protein 4, mitochondrial, with no coding region annotated. The transcript has 5 exons. The record is from RefSeq and is a predicted model, not a curated record. Lineage: Eukaryota; Viridiplantae; Streptophyta; Magnoliopsida; Solanales; Solanaceae.